RNAcentral lists this ribosomal RNA (254 nucleotides) under uncultured bacterium. RNAcentral's name for it is "partial 16S ribosomal RNA". It matches the Rfam family "Bacterial small subunit ribosomal RNA", at positions 524 to 776 of the family's 1533-position model. The record is from RNAcentral.
UACGUAGGGGGGCAAGCGUUGUCCGGAAUCAUUGGGCGUAAAGCGCGUGUAGGCGGCUGGGUAAGUCCGCUCUGAAAGCCCGGGGCUCAACCCCGGGAGGCGGGUGGAUACUGCUCAGCUCGAGUCCGGAAGAGGAGUGUGGAAUUCCUGGUGUAGCGGUGAAAUGCGCAGAUAUCAGGAGGAACACCAAUGGCGAAGGCAGCACUCUGGGACGGUACUGACGCUGAGACGCGAAAGCGUGGGGAGCGAACAGG